GGUGGGUGAACCAGACGGUUAGGUACCGGUCUGCAAAACCGUUUAAAUGAGUUCGACUCUCAUACCCACCU
RNAcentral lists this transfer RNA (71 nucleotides) under Aeriscardovia sp. RNAcentral describes it as "tRNA-Cys". It matches the Rfam family "tRNA". Rfam says of the family: Transfer RNA (tRNA) molecules are approximately 80 nucleotides in length. The record is from RNAcentral. Lineage: Bacteria; Bacillati; Actinomycetota; Actinomycetes; Bifidobacteriales; Bifidobacteriaceae.